Molecule: long non-coding RNA, 2779 nt
Filed under: Oryzias javanicus (javanese ricefish)
Lineage: Eukaryota; Metazoa; Chordata; Actinopteri; Beloniformes; Adrianichthyidae
Description: lncRNA (ENSOJAG00000016605.1)
Source: RNAcentral
GUACACUUUAGUAAUUGGCAUAAUUACGCUGGAGAAAAAACAUGUGGGUUUUGCAUCUUUUCAAGAAAAAUAAGAAUUAUAUUUAUGUUGUCUCAUUGUAAAAUCUAUUAUUGACUCUGAAAAGUGAAUGUUUGCUACACAUGACCAACCACUAAUCUUCUAAAUCAUACUUUGUUUUUGUUCAUCUCAUCUGUUGCCAGAGGGAAACACUUACUUUAAUAAAAUCAUUUCCUACAUGGAAUUUAGAAUUAAGAGCUCAUCCAGCCUCCCAGUAUCAAUUCAAGUUUGCAUGAAACACAGCAAAAAACAUGUUUUCUAUGAAGCAUCAUUUGUUCCAGCGUGGCACGGUUGCGUAUUUUUUUUUUUUCUUAAUCCUCAGAUGGAUCUUGGGAAUAAAGUCCCUGCGAGCCACGGCUCAUUACAGAACAACAAGAAGCAACAAAAGCAAAAUGGGAUCAAGGAUCUUCAAGAGGCCAAGAAGAGGGAAGAGAAGAAACAAGGAAGUAGAGGAGAAAUAGAGGAGUCAUUAGAUCAGAAUUCAAGUCCAGCUGAUGUCACCGCUGCUUAAUGUCUUUUCAAUCCAUUUUUCUUGCAAAAUAGUUGUGUUGUUUUGUUUUUGCUCCACCUUUUUUUUUCUUUACAAGAAAUUUUCCUUUAACUUGGUCAGAGUCAGACAUAUAGUCAGCAUAUUUUUGUAUUUGCUGUCUGCUUUAGUUCAGUAAAUGAAAUAACCUAUUGAGGGCUUUUCAAUGUUAUAGUAAAGAAGUCUCGUGUUAAUUUUCCUUCAAAAAAUCAAGUAUUAUUUCUUCUCUGCUUUAUUUUAUGCAACACAAAAGCUUUUGUUUUACCGUCUAAUCUUGUUUUUUUCUGGUAAAAAAUGAUAAUAAUAAUUUGUUUAAGCGUUGAGUAAUGUCUCAGUCAUUUCUAUAUUUUGAAUGACUUUGUUGCAGUUUUUUUACUGAUGUUAAGCAAUAAAUAAUUUUCUAUUACUGUUUGAAUGUCAGAUAAUCUAAUUAUUUAAUAUUUUCUGUGUCUGAUAUGUAAAAUAUAUUAAAUGUAUUUAAUUUUUUUGUCAGUCUCACUGGAAGUGCUGCCUUAAAAUCGAUUAUUCUUACACACUGUUAUGGUAAAUAUAAUAUAGCUGAUUCUUAUAUGUGAAAUGUGGGGUUCAAUGUCUUGCCCAAAGACACUUCAACACAUGGACGGGUAGGGUGGGACUCAAACUUGAGAUCUUUCGAUCAGACCGCUCUUCCGUUGCACCGCUGUUACAAAAUAGAAACAUGAAUGAAAUAUGAUGUAUUAAAGAAAUAUUUCGAGUGAAAUUAAAACUUACUUACAAAAAAAACUUACUUUACAAAAAAAAAUACAUAAAAAAAUUGAUACAUGUGUUUUACAUUUGUAUUUCAAACUUUAGUUAAUGAGUUCCACAAAUGAGACUUAUUAACAAAGUGACUUGUCUGCUCUGACCAGUGUUACAAUUUAGAAAAUUCCCAAUAAAAUAUAUGUCAAAUUGAGAUUUUAAACUUUUUGUCUGACAGAGAACAUGGAUUUCCUUGGUAAAUAAAUUAUUUAACAGUUACAAAGAAUGAAAGUAGCAACCAUUGCUCACAUUGCAGGAAAACAAUCAAACGAACAGCAAAAUCAUUAAGCAUAAGUAACAUUGGAAUAAUUAUUGAUUGGAUUAUCACUUUUUUUUGUAGCUGGUGCUAAGGUAGCAUAACAUAACAUCUCCUUUGCUCUGGAAACAUCUCGGAAAUUUGCCCUGAAACUUGAGAGUCACAUUCAGCCACAUUCAAGUUAGAGAAAAAAAUAGAUUAAAAAAAAAUAUGAUGUGUGCAUGUUAGGUAUCAGUUGGCCUAAACUGAGCCUUUCUAUGGGCUGUGCUCUAGGCUCAAACUGAUCUUUUUAUCUAAAUUUAGCUCACUGCAGGUUCUAGUGUGAACCAUUGAAAGUUUAUCCAAACACGAUAUGACUCAUGCACACCAACAUGUGUGUGUGUUUUUUUUUUUUUUAAGUGUUGGGACAUUUCGUUAUGGAAGCAUCAGGAAACAAAAAGCCUUGGAUCAUGUUUGCUGCUGCGUUGCAUCACCUCUUCUAUGAUCAGCACUCAAGUAAACCUCUUUGACCCGAGGAAAACGGUAGUCCUUUAUUAUAAAAAAAAAAAACAAGAUGCUUUUCAGUCUGCGUUAAAGGGUAGAUAUCAGCAGCUCAACAUAUACAUUUGGGGGUUAUUUUGCUUUUGUCGUUUCCGUUUUUCCGUGUUUUUAAUACCUUCAGUCGCUGACAUUCCUGUAAAAAUGGUUGACUGCUGGAUAUUAUGAUUAAAAGCCCUCACAACUUGAAAUCUACUGUUGUCUUAUUUAAAAAUGAAUUAUUUUCUGAAGGAAAAUAAUUUGUCUGAAUGGAUGUUAUGUCCUGAUGUGGUAUUCUAAUCGAUGCUUUCUGUCAAUCAGCAGACAACUGGGGACUUUUAAGCAAGGCGGUUGCUUCAUCUUUGUGUAAAAUAAAGGAUAAUGAAGCAUUUUUAUUAUAAACCAUUGUAACAUCUUCCUUUAUUAGCUUUGAAUGCAGUCUUUUCCUCAUGAUUAAUCUCAGAAAUUAUUGUCAGUCCAGACAGAGAUUAAUCAAAACCUAUUUAUUGGUAGUUUUUACUUCGCACUUUUUUAAAAUAUAUCCCAAGUUAUGCAAUAAUAUUUACAUUUCGUGUUCUUAGUUUACUUCUUUAAGUUGAUUAUUUUGUUAAUUUUUAAGUUUAAUUAUGUUUUACUAUGUAUUCCUG